Molecule: ribosomal RNA, 497 nt
Filed under: uncultured bacterium
Lineage: Bacteria
Description: partial 16S ribosomal RNA
Rfam family: Bacterial small subunit ribosomal RNA
Source: RNAcentral
GAUGAACGCUGGCGGCGUGCCUAAUACAUGCAAGUCGAGCGAACAGACGAGGAGCUUGCUCCUCUGACGUUAGCGGCGGACGGGUGAGUAACACGUGGAUAACCUACCUAUAAGACUGGGAUAACUUCGGGAAACCGGAGCUAGUACCGGAUAAUAUAUUGAACCGCAUGAUUCAAUAGUGAAAGACGGUUUUGCUGUCACUUAUAGAUGGAUCCGCGCCGCAUUAGCUAGUUGGUAAGGUAACGGCUUACCAAGGCAACGAUGCGUAGCCGACCUGAGAGGGUGAUCGGCCACACUGGAACUGAGACACGGUCCAGACUCCUACGGGAGGCAGCAGUAGGGAAUCUUCCGCAAUGGGCGAAAGCCUGACGGAGCAACGCCGCGUGAGUGAUGAAGGUCUUCGGAUCGUAAAACUCUGUUAUUAGGGAAGAACAAAUGUGUAAGUAACUAUGCACGUCUUGACGGUACCUAAUCAGAAAGCCACGGCUAACUACGUG